GACGAACGCUGGCGGCGUGCUUAACACAUGCAAGUCGAACGGAAAGGCCCUGCUUUUGUGGGGUGCUCGAGUGGCGAACGGGUGAGUAACACGUGAGUAACCUGCCCUUGACUUUGGGAUAACUUCAGGAAACUGGGGCUAAUACCGGAUAGGAGCUCCUGCUGCAUGGUGGGGGUUGGAAAGUUUCGGCGGUUGGGGAUGGACUCGCGGCUUAUCAGCUUGUUGGUGGGGUAGUGGCUUACCAAGGCUUUGACGGGUAGCCGGCCUGAGAGGGUGACCGGCCACAUUGGGACUGAGAUACGGCCCAGACUCCUACGGGAGGCAGCAGUGGGGAAUAUUGCACAAUGGGCGGAAGCCUGAUGCAGCAACGCCGCGUGCGGGAUGACGGCCUUCGGGUUGUAAACCGCUUUCGCCUGUGACGAAGCGUGAGUGACGGUAAUGGGUAAAGAAGCACCGGCUAACUACGUGCCAGCAGCCGCGGUGAUACGUAGGGUGCGAGCGUUGUCCGGAUUUAUUGGGCGUAAAGGGCUCGUAGGUGGUUGAUCGCGUCGGAAGUGUAAUCUUGGGGCUUAACCCUGAGCGUGCUUUCGAUACGGGUUGACUUGAGGAAGGUAGGGGAGAAUGGAAUUCCUGGUGGAGCGGUGGAAUGCGCAGAUAUCAGGAGGAACACCAGUGGCGAAGGCGGUUCUCUGGGCCUUUCCUGACGCUGAGGAGCGAAAGCGUGGGGAGCGAACAGGCUUAGAUACCCUGGUAGUCCACGCUGUAAACGGUGGGUACUAGGUGUGGGGUCCAUUCCACGGGUUCCGUGCCGUAGCUAACGCUUUAAGUACCCCGCCUGGGGAGUACGGCCGCAAGGCUAAAACUCAAAGGAAUUGACGGGGCCCCGCACAAGCGGCGGAGCAUGCGGAUUAAUUCGAUGCAACGCGUAGAACCUUACCUGGGUUUGACAUGGAUCGGGAGCGCUCAGAGAUGGGUGUGCCUCUUUUGGGGUCGGUUCACAGGUGGUGCAUGGCUGUCGUCAGCUCGUGUCGUGAGAUGUUGGGUUAAGUCCCGCAACGAGCGCAACCCUUGUUCACUGUUGCCAGCACGUUAUGGUGGGGACUCAGUGGAGACCGCCGGGGUCAACUCGGAGGAAGGUGGGGAUGACGUCAAGUCAUCAUGCCCCUUAUGUCCAGGGCUUCACGCAUGCUACAAUGGCUGGUAUAGAGAGUGGCGAGCCUGUGAGGGUGAGCGAAUCUCGGAAUGCCGGUCUCAGUUCGGAUUGGGGUCUGCAACUCGACCUCAUGAAGUCGGAGUCGCUAGUAAUCGCAGAUCAGCAACGCUGCGGUGAAUACGUUCCCGGGGCU
Molecule: ribosomal RNA, 1346 nt
Filed under: uncultured bacterium
Lineage: Bacteria
Description: bacterial SSU rRNA
Rfam family: Bacterial small subunit ribosomal RNA
Source: RNAcentral